GCCGCCGUGGCGGAAUGGUAGACGCUGUGGAUUUAAAAUCCAUUGACUGCAAGGUCGUGCGGGUUCGAGUCCCGCCGGCGGUA
This 83-nucleotide transfer RNA is filed under the name Roseibacillus persicicus. It matches the Rfam family "tRNA". Rfam says of the family: Transfer RNA (tRNA) molecules are approximately 80 nucleotides in length. Their secondary structure includes four short double-helical elements and three loops (D, anti-codon, and T loops). Further hydrogen bonds mediate the characteristic L-shaped molecular structure. tRNAs have two regions of fundamental functional importance: the anti-codon, which is responsible for specific mRNA codon recognition, and the 3' end, to which the tRNAs corresponding amino acid is attached (by aminoacyl-tRNA synthetases). tRNAs cope with the degeneracy of the genetic code in two manners: having more than one tRNA (with a specific anti-codon) for a particular amino acid; and 'wobble' base-pairing, i.e. permitting non-standard base-pairing at the 3rd anti-codon position. The record is from Rfam by way of RNAcentral. Lineage: Bacteria; Pseudomonadati; Verrucomicrobiota; Verrucomicrobiia; Verrucomicrobiales; Verrucomicrobiaceae.